This 464-nucleotide ribosomal RNA is filed under the name uncultured bacterium. RNAcentral's name for it is "partial 16S ribosomal RNA". It matches the Rfam family "Bacterial small subunit ribosomal RNA", at positions 28 to 507 of the family's 1533-position model. The record is from RNAcentral.
GACGAACGCUGGCGGCGUGCUUAACACAUGCAAGUCGAACGGAAAGGCCCCUUUGGGGUACUCGAGUGGCGACCGGGUGAGUAACACGUGAGUAACCUGCCCUUGACUUCGGGAUAACUUCAGGAAACUGGGGCUAAUACCGGAUAGGAAUCCUUGCUGCAUGGUGGGGGUUGGAAAGCUUCGGCGGUUUUGGAUGGACUCGCGGCUUAUCAGCUUGUUGGUGGGGUAGUGGCUUACCAAGGCUUUGACGGGUAGCCGGCCUGAGAGGGCGACCGGCCACAUUGGGACUGAGAUACGGCCCAGACUCCUACGGGAGGCAGCGGUGGGGAAUAUUGCACAAUGGGCGGAAGCCUGAUGCAGCAACGCCGCGUGCGGGAUGACGGCCUUCGGGUUGUAAACCGCUUUCAGCAGGGGCGAAGCUUGUGGUGACGGUACCUGCAGAAGAAGCACCGGCUAACUACGUG